UUUGGUCAACCGAGUUGACUAUGGCCGAUCCCUUUCCAUUGGGAAGAGAAAGCUUUACUGGAUAUCCAAAGUCAUCAUUGUCAAUGUCCAUAAAAUUUUAGGAAGUUGAUCUUAGAAAAUAGAUAAGAUCAUUAAGGUUCUUGUCAUAGUCUAUUUCAUAGGUGUCCUAAAGGAACUCACUAUGUGACUUAGAAAGUGAUUGAACCACCAACUUUCUCAAGACUUUGACACCCAACUCUCCCGGCUUGUCAAUAUGUGACUACAUCUCCAAGAUGUGACCACACCUAGACCUUGCCUUGCUAAUAGGGCCUGAGUGACCUUAAACUUUUCAAGAACUUGUGGGUUAGGGAGAAUAAUUUGAAGAGGUGAAGAAGUAUGAUAUCCAUGGGACAUCAUCUUCAUUAGGAAACCUUGUUUCAAGAGAUUUGGGAAGAUCAUAGGUGUCUAAACCAGACAUCUUUUGGGAGAUAUUCAAGAUAGUUGAUUUAAAGUCCUUAAUAUGACACCCAAUAUGAAAUAUUAAGGCUAGGACCCAACAAACUAUUUUAUAACUUAGAAGAGGUAUGCCGUAAUCCAAGCUAUAAAAUAUUUGAAGGUAGGUGAAUGACGAUUCACCAAUUUCCACCAAGAUAAACGAAAUGUAUUAUUAGGUUUUAAUUGGUUUUGAAACUCCUAGAUCUUUGAGAUUCAUUGAACUUUUCAAAGGCAUGUUUCAAUCUCGAGUGUGCCCUUCAGGUUUUGUGACUGGGAUGCCGAGGAUCACAAAACAAGGUGUGAAGUAACCAUGCAAAUCACUUGGUACCCUUAAUAAAUUACCCCUCAAUCGAUGUGCCGGUUAACCACACACGCUCCAUCGAUACUAUGAUAAAUAUUAAGUCACCCUUUACCUACCUUGUUAAGUCCAAGUUAGUGUGCCGGUUAACCACACACGCUCCACUAACGACUUAGACAAAGUGUAAAGUGUAAUUUCAUGGAUUAGCACCUUAUUCACAUUUUUCCUAAGUAACUAAGAUUGGGUAUUAUUAAGAGUUUAGUUACUUAGUAUUAUCAUUAAUACUUUUAAUGAAGGGAGAAUUCUAGUCCUGUCAAACCCGUUCGGCUAACGACCCUCCACCAGUCAAGCAAGCGGUGGGUGAGAGUGGACACCCAUUAAGUUGCCAUUUUAUAGGCAACAACCUUAUACCCACCUUAUAGACCGGCUUCGUGAAUGAGGCGUACUAGCGGUAAGACUGACUUUACUCUUAUACAUAUAUAUAUUAUUAACUUAUAAUAUUAUAAAGUAUAAGGGUUGAAUUUUAACUUUUAAAAUUCUAAGGGCUAACUUGGAAUUAAAGUAUUCAUAAGUGAAAACUUUUCAAAUUCCAAAACUUGAGGGCAAGUUUUGAAACUAUUCAAAACUAAUUAAUUCCAUAACUUAUGUGUUUAAAGUAGUUUUAAUCCAAAAACUCUUCAAGUUCCAUAACUUGAGGAAAGGUUAUGGAAGACUUUAAACUAAUAAAAGAAUUGACUUAUCUUUAUUUUAUAACUUAUGGAAUUAAUUAAGGUUACAUUUUUUUUUUAUUAUUUAAUGAAAUGACUCUUAAGAGACUCUUGGUCCUCCAUAACUUGAGGACAAGUUAUGGAGUCAUAAAACCAUUUAAUUAGAACUAGACUCUUCAUUUUUGUAACCUUUGCCAAUUUUUAUGAGUUUUAUGAUUCUUAAAUGUGACUUUUCAUAUAACUUGAGGACAAGUUACAAAAACACAUUUUAGAAUCAAUUCUUAGAUUAAUUUGGAUUAAAACCAACUNUUUCUAUUAAUCUAAGCAACUCAUAAGAACAAGAUAAUUCAAAUCAAACUUUUUCAUGUAAUUAGCCUAAUCACUAAACUAAUUCAAAACAUGAAUCUAUUGACAAUUAUCUUUGAAAUUGGAUUAGCAUGAACAUUACCACAUCAAAAACAAGUUUAUAAGUUCAAAAACAACUUAGGGUAAUGUUCCUAGUCCAUUUCUAGCCAAAAACCUCGAAAAUAUGCUGUUUGGGGCUCCUACUCGUCGAGUACGUGAACCUACUCGACGAGUAGUAUGAUUUUACUCAUGGACUCGGCGAGUUCAUCAGUGGACUCAGCAAGUCCAAUGACCAGAAAGCCAGAAAAUCGAGUUUUUCAGCAUUUUUCAGCAAUUUGCAUCAAGUAUAAUAGAAAACAAGCCUAGGCUCUGAUACCACUGUUGGGUUUUGAGCAUUCUAACACUCCUAAGUGUACAUGCAACCCUAAAUACCUUGGAUCUAUGUUUUCUCUAUUAUACAUGCAAAUAUGAACAUCUAAGGUAUUAUCCCAAUCUAAGCUAUAAAACAAAUGAAUAUAACAAGAUAGAAUAUAUACCUCUUUGAUGUAGAUUAUCUUGAUAAAGCUUGAGUGCCUAGUGCCCCAAGUGUCACACCUCAAAUGCUUCACACAACAUCAAUUGCUUUUGGAAUAACCUAGAGAGAAAUGUAGAACACUCCUUGAAAUCGUUUAGCCCUCAAACUCACACAUAGUGCCCGAUUUCUUGAGCCAUGGGAUUCUUUUAUAUGGUGGCUAUUAGGUUACACCAUGUAACUCAUGACUUUACCCAUUCCUUAUGCUCCAUGGAUUUUAACCUCCAUGGAGUAUCCAUGGGUCACCUCAUGGACUUAGUCCAACAUAAGGAAUCUUGGAUCAUAAGCCCACAUAUAUAAGAAUGAAUGAUUUACACAAUCAACCCAUAUAUUUAAUUAGUCUCCUUUUGAUCACUUAAUUAAUUCCAAAUUAAUUCUUGAUCAAUACUAAUUAAAUAACCUUAUUAAUAUAUUAUAACUUAUAAUAUAUUAACAAACCUUAAGUGUUAUCUCUCUCAUUAUAGUCUAUCCAAAUGCAUGAUGCCAUGCAACCUAAAUGGACCAUGUCGGGUCGGGUCAAGUCUUACCAAUUAUAAUUAUGGACUUAGACAUUAAUCCAACAAACACUCCCCUGGAUACGAGAGUGAAGAACUAAUAAACAAAGUUCUCCAUAAUACUACUUUCGAAAUUCAUUAAUCCAACAAAUACUCCCCUGGGCCUUGGCGACACUCCCCCUAGUUACAAGAGUGUCGGACUAACCCUGUAACCGGAAUCUCAUUGAGGGAGAACGUGACUUGAGUGUAUAGAUCUAUACGGGACUGACUAUCCCACACUUGGCUGCUAGCUACAGCCAAACCGAAAGGCUCAAGGGUGACAAAAGUCAUAAAAUGAUAUGGGCCCCGUUUAGAGCCUUGUCUAGUCUUUAGUAUGAUUAUAGAACUCGCAAUCUAGAUUAUGAAAACUUCUCAACUUACUUAUUAGUUUUAUAUACGUGUUAAAACUAAUAUACUUCACAGGGAUAACCAGGUUUUCAGAAUACAUCUUUUACAUACCAUUUCAGAUUGGAAACCAACUUUUAGGAAAAUAUGGGAUUUUCCUGGGAUAGCAACUGUUCAUAUCUAGACUUGUGUAACAAACAGAUAACUAAACUUUACAUAUAAGAAAAUAUGGGAUUUUCUUGGAUUCGUAACUUUUUCAGGAAACCGAAAGGAAACUUGUUCAUUUUCAGAAAAGAAACCGCUUAUGAACUCACCACCUUUAUGCUGAUUUUCAAACUGCUUGUAUUCUCAGGUCCAUAUUAGACAGGUACCUCACAGUCUUUUGGAGAAGACGGAGCGUGUAAAAGUCACGUCUUUACUUUUUUUCAUAUAUACAUAUGUAUAACACUUGUAACACUUUACUUUCAAACAAAUGUAAAUUUUCAGAUGUAAUGUAAUGGUUGUUUACUUUGCUUACUAUGUACAUUGGUUAUGAUACUUAACAUGAAGUUACGUCCGCCCCGGAACGUUUCUGCCCUGUGUUUCGGGGUGUGACAAACCUUCACACCACCUCUCCAGAUUAACCAACAAAACCACUCAAGGUGAGUUCAUACCCCCACAUUUUCAAGAUUUUUCAUGUUUGAGNGGGGGGGGGGGAUACAAGUAAAAAUUUGUUUAUCCCACAAGUAAUUACAUAUUAUCAUCUUUAUGUUAAUGAUAAGAUAUUAUUUUCAUAAGUUAUGGUUUAUAAUAGUUUUUGGUAUAAAUAUUUGUGAUAUACAUAUUGUUAAAACAAACAUAAUCUAUGUUAUAAAUCAUAAGAAAAUUUAUGAUUGUAAAACUACAUGGUUUUUGGAAACUUUUUCUAAAAGAUAGCUUUUCUAGCAAAAGUGAUUAGAUUAUAGCCGUUUACUAAUUUUGUAGGUUAUAACCCAAAAAUAUUAUGUUUUGAUUCCAUAUUUUUAUACUAGACAAAAAUACUCAUUCAUAUUUAUAUAAAAGAUAAUAUAAAUAGUUUAAACAAACGAGAUAAACUAUAAUUCGUAUAGUCUGGAAGUCACAAACCACACCUUUAUUUUAGAAGUUACAUAUUAUUAUUCAAAGAUAUACGACUUCAUUUACAAGAAAAAGGAGUCACAGUUCACAUAAAUCUGUUGAUGCUCUUGUGAGAAAUUCUCUUCACCGUACCUAGCUAGUCUACACCUUAAGUCCUGCAUUAUAACUAGAGUCUCAUUGAGGGAGAGAAAAAUUGUUGUGUAUAGAUCUAUACGGUAUUGACAACCCCACACCUCAGUUGUUCGCUACAGUUAGACAGGCAAGUCUGGGGUGACCAAUGUCUACCACUUCUGACUCCUAAAGAACAUCGUUCAGGCAUAUUUGUCAUAUGAAGCAUAAUUAUAAUACCUCUAUUAGGGAUUAACAAAACGACUUGGUUUACGGAGUAACUUACACUUCAAUAGUUUUAUAAAAAGAUAAAGCUACAUACUAUUUUUAGCACAACAUUACUUAUACAUUUUUGGUCUUAGGGUUUAAGACUAUGUUUACAGUUAAGAAAAUAUUGGAUUUUCUGGAAACAUACAUUAUCAUUUCUACAAGGAAAAUAUACAAAGUAAAUACAUACAUCUACAAUUUAUACUUAAGAAAAUAUUGGAUUUUCUAGAAACACACAUUAUCAUUUUUACAAGGAAAUUAUACAAAGGAAAUACACACAUCUACAGAUCAUACUUAAGAAAAUAAUGGAUUUUUUUGGAAACAUACAUUAUCAUUUUUACAAGGAAAUUAUACAAGGGAAAUACAUACAUUUAUAGUUCAUGUUAAAGAAAAUAUUGGAUUUACAAGAAGUAUACAAAUCAUUUUACACGAAAAUGUUACAAAUCCUUCUCACUCACAAACGCUUAUGAACUCAAUAGCUUAAUUGUUGAAACUUUUCAAAAUCACUUGUAUUCUCAGGAAACCAGUCGACAGGUACUCAACCCUUCUUGAGGGCUGGCGUCGUUGUGACAACCCGAAAUUUCUAACUUACAUUCAUCAUUGUAAUUAAAGUUAGCUUCGUUUUGCUAUUUUAUAAUGAAGUUUUGGGUCUAAAAGAGUGCUUAAACCUUAGUAUAUUUGAGUUAUGUGUCGGAGGAUGGAUUAGAUUGGGUGUAGCAUUAGAAAAACGGGCCAAACACAUCAAACCUGGUGUGUGCGGCCAUACACUAGAGUGUGCGGCCAGCCAGCUUCACACAGGCCAAUCACACACACCUCCAACCGCACACACCCUCCUAUAAGUACUAUCCUUUGUCAUUUUGAUCAUUUCUUACACUCUUGCAAACCUAGGACUCGAAAAUCCUCUCAAGUAUUAUCCAGAAAUGUAACAUCUUUCACCAAGAACACCAAGAACACCAUGUUUUCUGGCAGCACACGCUUCUGGCAGCACACCUGGCCCCACACCUGGCCGCACAUAUGUGCUGGCAGCACACCUGGCCGCACACACACAUAUAGUGUGUAUUUUGGCCAUACACUCCCUUGUAUACCCUUUUAACCCUUCGUACAAUCAUUUAUGGUUGUAACACUUCAAUAUAAGUGUGCACUAGUCCCUAAGGUGGUCUCAAUUAAUAAAUUAGUUGUUCAUAACACUAAUUAUAUUCAUAUAUGUGCCAAUAUAUGCUAAAUAGGAUUCACAUGUGUACUCAAGUCACCACUUGAUACAUAGCAACUAAUCCAACAUUUUCAUCAGAACCACUCACUACAGGUGAGUUCAUACCCCUUAAUCAAUGUUUUAACUAUUUUUAAAUGUUUUAUGGGGGGGAUACAAGUAGAAUAAUGCUAGUCAUUAUAUUAAUCAUAUGUGAUUAAUAAGCAAGAUUCAAAUGGUUGGCUACUCAUUAGCCGUUUUACCAAACAGUUUACUUCAAAUGUUUUUCAUAAACACAUUAUGUGUUUAAAUCUCCUUAUUACACUGUACAUUUUACUCCGUAUGUAUUAUUUCAAACUUAUUUACAAUUGUGAUUCAAACAAAUGUUUCCUUAUACUAAAGUUGUUUAAUCAAACCCAUGACUUCAAAACGUUUUAUAAAUGGACACCAAGUCGAUCUUUUCUUAGAUAAUAAUUAUGUUCAAAGGUUUUACAAAACUUAUUUUAUGCUUUUAUAUUAUAAAUUGGAUACCUCUAUAUGUAUAUUAUAAAUUGGAUACCUCGAUUUGGAUGUGGUCUGAUAGGAUAGCGGGUACUUGUCCGAAGGUCGUUUAAAUAUUAGUUAUAUAUCAUGUGUACAUAUAUAGUCAUAAAAGGUCCUUCCAGUUCAUCCAAUGCCCUUGGGUAGCAAGGGUAUACAUCCAUGUUCAUACGUGCCAGUUGGAUUACUAGUAAACUACCAUAUGGGUAGUUUAGAAAGAUACUAAAACUAUUACUAGAACAUGAUACCAUACAAUGAGUCAGUUCAUUCAUGAGUCAAUACUUGCUAGAACAUUACAACACAUUACUUUGCUUGCUAGAUAGAGAGCACGUACACUACAGCUAGAACAUUACAAUGCAUUACUAUACUUGCUAGAUAGAGAGCACGUACACUACAGCUAGAACAUUACAGUCCAUUACCAUACUAUUACAUAAAUAUGGUCACAUGAUCACAUUUACAUGAGUACGGUUACAAGAAUUACUAGUACAUUUUAUAUGUAUAGAUUCUGUUAUAUAAUCCUCAUUCUUAUCUUUAGCUUGUGAUUCAAUCACAUAAUCGACGAGAUAGAUUGGAUUUAAUAUCCUAGUACCCAAGGAUACGUUGUGGGACUGACCAUUCCUAGAAUCUCUGUUAGCUACAAAGGUAAAAGCACAUCCACGGAUGUCAACGGUUGAUACCAUUACAGGUAUACUUUUGGGGACUGACUAUUCCUAUACCCAGUUGUUAGUAACAGAGGUAAAUGUACAUCUACGGAUGACUUCAGUUAACAUUGUUAGUUGCCCAUGUUCUAAAGGGUAAUACUAAUACAGCUUGGUCUUGGUAGAAGACUACAUCCAGAACAGUUAGGUCUUGGUAGAAGACAACAUUCAGAAUAGUUAGGUCUCGGUAGAAGACUACAUUCAGAGCAAUUAGGUCUUGGUAGAAGGCUACAUUGAGAAUAGUUAAGUCUUGGUAGAAGACUCCUUUUGUUACUAAUAGGAAUCAUAGGGAUUUCUAGGGCUUUUCAAACUUUUACAGUUGUUUUACAAACAUUUUCAUACAUACAGUUCAUUUAUGUGACAACCCGAAUUUUCCAUUCUGAACAAACAAUAUCACUUCAAUAGAAGUUAUAACAGUCACAGUAAAUUUUCAGACUUUUCGGAUAAGUUUGAGUAAUUCAGGGUUUACACUUCAGGAGAUAUCAGGAGAGUGGAUGUACUAGGGUUUCAUGCAACACUGUUAUUCCAACACUCUGUCAUAUUAGAAAUCAUUUCGGGAAUAAAAAUAUUUUCUGCCAAAAAUAUCUCAAGACUAUAAAUAGAAUUCUGAACCAAAUUCAUUCAUUUUUCGCAUUUCCAACUAGAGAAAAGCCAUUUUCUCUCUCACGGAUCUUCGGGUUUUUAUCCCAAAUCGUGAGUACUUCAAUCUAGUUGUAUUGUAUAGCUUAGAUUAUGCUUAAUAACAUCAAAAUAACGACAAAGCAGCAAGAUUUGAGAGUUUACUCCCCAAAAACAUCUUGGAGAAUAAACUCCUUUUCAAAAGCCAAAUGAGGCAUAGUCCUUCCUUAAGCCAUGAAACUAGUUUGGAAUUGUACACUAACGAGUUUAGGGACAGAAAACAAACUGAAAGCAACAAGAUUUGAGAGUUUACUCCCCAAGAACAUCUUGGAGAGUAAACUCCUCUUGGAGAGUAAACUCCUUUUGGAGAGUAAACUCCAUUUUAAGGGCCAAAAGUGUCCCAAUGUCCCUCAAAGCCUUCGAAAUGAACCUUGAGACUAUCCAUGACAUGUUUAGACAUCCAAAACCAAUAGAAUCAAGGGUUGAAAUUGAGUUCACGGCCAAGGAAGUUCUUGGGCCGUGAACUCCAUUUUAGGGUGUCAAAAUGCCCAAAAUGCCACCCUUAAGCAAAGAGAGUAGCAUAGCUUUUUACCUUGAUGUGUCUAAGACCCAAAACAACCAAAAUACCAACAUCCACAAGUGUUUACGGCCACAAACACAUGACCAAAUGGUCUAUGGGCCGAAAACUCAAGUUAGGGGUGUUUUGGUGCCACAAACACUUCCUAAGGCUUAGGCAUGAAUUUAGAAUGCUUCCUUAUGACCUUUAAGACCCUCAUAAACAUAUUUGGACACCCCAAAAAGUGCCAAAAGAAGUGGUCCUUCUCAUCCUAGGCUUAAGCUAAUGUCCCUAAAUCAUUCCCUAGCUUUCAUAGUUGCACUAACCCAUGAGUAACCAUGAGUUUACGGCCGUAAACUCCCUUGGGCCGUGAACUCAUGGUAGUAAACUCAUUUUUGUGCCUUAUACGUUUCUAUGUUGAAUCACAUGUGAUUCCAACACUUGGUCAAGGUGUUUCCUAGUCCCGGAAGGUGUUAUCUUUCAUAUAGUUGUUAAAAACACUAUAUUCAUGUCAUUAUGUGUCGUUAAAUAUCAUUUAGGAAUUAUUGUGUCUCGGGACUUCAUUCGUGGAACUUCUCAUUCAUACACGUGUACCCGCUAGAACCACUCACAAUAGGUGAGUUCAUACCGCUAAUCAAUGUUUUAAAUGAUUUUAAAUGCUUUAAUGGGGGGGGGGAUACAAGUAGAAAACAGCAUGUUAUUAAAUCAUCUAUAUGUAUUUUAUAACUGUGUUUUCAUUUAACAAAUUUCACAUACUACAAAAUGUGAUGCAUGAAACGGUUUGCUAUCUUUAAAAUACUUUGUUAUCAAAUGUAUUACUUUUGAAAUGUUUAUCAAAAUGACAUCAAGUCACUUUUAUAUUUGUUCAAAACCCGUAGAUGUCUUACAAAACCAUUUUACAUUCUUGAACUAAACUAUGCAUAUACACUUAUAAUCUUAUAUAUGUAUUGUUGUUAUAGUUUACAUCUUUCAUUUAGUUUCCCACACCCUUGAGUAGUAAGAGUGUAUAAACCCACUUGAUCAACCAAUUACAUUUCAGUAAAUUAUCAUAGGGAUAAUUUGAAGGUAUCAAACAUUAUUCCUAUUACAAGGAAUCAAACAAGAGUCAGUUCAUUCAUGAGUGCACACCAGUACACUACCUGAUACAUGAACAUGUUUACAUAUACUUACCUGAUACAUGAACACACUAACAUGAAUGCCAUACAUGAACACUGUUACAUAUGUGCAUUAUCCUGUAUUCACUUACCUAGAUACUUGUACUUAGAACUACGAGGAUGAUUAAUUAGUACUUUCUGUGUAAAUUAUCUUUCCUAUCCCGGUUUAAUGGGAUAUCUCGGCGGGACUAACCAUUCCGAACCCCGCUGAUUAGCACCAGUGGUCGAUGACCAUCUACGGAGGUCUAUGGUUACUAUUUAUAUUAGGUAGAUCGAUAUCUAGGCGGGACUAACCAUUCCGAAUCCCAUCUGAUUAACACCAGUGGUCGAUGACCAUCUACGGAGGUCUAUGGUUACUAUUUAUAUUAGGUAGAUCGAUAUCUAGGCGGGACUAACCAUUCCGAAUCCCAUCUGAUUAACACCAGUGGUCGAUGACCAUCUACGGAGGUCUAUGGUUACUAUUUAGAUUAGGUAGAUCGAUAUCUAGGCGGGACUAACCAUUCCAAAUCCCAUCUGAUUAACACCAGUGGUCGAUGACCAUCUACGGAGUUCUAUGGUUACUAUUUAUAUUAGGUAGAUUGAUAGCAGGGGCUAACCCCUCCACCCACAUGCUGCUGCUAUAGACGACAAGUGGACAAUCUUUGGAUGUUCAUUAGGUUAUACCUUUCGCUUAUUGCAAUGUUGUGUUACUCCUAGUACCCAACGAUAACACUUACAUUAAUACUUUUUCUGGACAAUCUUCGGAUGUUCAUUAGGUUAUCUAUUUCGCUUAUUGCGAUGUUGUGUUAGUCCUAGUACCUAGUGACAACACUUACACGAGUAUAUUUUUCCUGUUUACUUUAUUUUGUGAUAUGUUCACAUAAACGAUGAGUUAGACUAAGUACUUUAGUACUAGUCAAUAGAAGGAAAAACUAUCAUUUUACUUACANNNNNNNNNNNNNNNNNNNNNNNNNNNNNNNNNNNNNNNNNNNNNNNNNNNNNNNNNNNNNNNNNNNNNNNNNNACAAAACAUUCGGGUCUUGGUAGAAGACUACAUUGUCAUAACAAAACAUUCGGGUCUUGGUAGAAGACUACAUUGUCAUAACAAAACAUUCGGGUCUUGGUAGAAGACUACAUCUCAAACUAAUAGAAAAUAAGGGAUUUUCUAGGGCCUUUCAUACUUACAUCAACAUUUUCAUUUAAAGGUUUACAUGACUUUUAAAAUAGCUUUUCAAAGCAAGUCAAUGACACUUAAAUACUUAUGAAUUAACCAGCUUUAAAGUUGAUACUCUCUUUCAAAAUAACUCGUAUUCUCAGGUCAUCAGUAGACAGCUACGGUGGGCAGGUCUUGAGAAUACGGAGCAGACAAGUCUCGUCUUUUAUUUUGAUUAUAUAUUUUUGGUGUUUUAUUACAAUGAAAGAACACAUGUAUUAAAACUUUACUUAUAAUUCAAUGGAUGAUGUUGUUGCUUGUUUACUAUUUUACACUGUUGUGAUACUGUACAUGACGUCCUCCACCCCUGAACGUUUCCGCCGUUCGUGGUUUUGGGGUGUGACAGAUUGGUAUCAGAGCAUUGUUUAUAGUGAAUUAAGUAUAUCAACCCAUAAAAGAUAUACUAACUAUAAACACAUUGGGAUUAAAACACUCUGUCUAAGAGUUUAUACUUUUAAAUAAUAAAACAUUUAACAAAGUAUACAUGCCUGCAUUCAUACUAAAAUCCGUGUCACAAUGACAAGAACAAAAGUAUUGAGAUUGUUGAAUAUCACAGGUAAACUCGGGGAUGUAUGGUCAAUCUUGGGAGUGGCAUAGCCUGAUCAACUAUGUUGUUCCGAGGGGUGAUUAGCACAUGCCCAAGAAUGGUUGUGAUAUGGCUACAAGUCUAAAAACUUACCAACAUUACCACAAUGAGAACAUUAUAACAGAACCUAAGUCUAAAAUACCAUAGGGGUGUUUUGUGUUACUAUAAUUACUAUAUACUUGAGAACUAAAAUGGAAUCUUCAUUCCUAAGUUGAUAAUUGCUAAGUGGAUACGCUAAAGUUAUAUGUAACUAGGAUGUUAUAGACUUAGAAUCGGUGAAAUUUUUGCUUUACCCCUAUUCCUUGUGAAUUUGGAGUUGAGGUCACUUAUUCGAAGGCUUAUCCUGUGUUGAUUACAUAUAACUGGUAUGCACUUUCCAAAUAGCGAUGGAACUAAUGAAGAUUUCCCUAAAUAAUUAUCUAGAUAGUUCGUCUAAUAAUUAUUUUCUUACCCCAAAUUCUCGCGUAGAUAACAUGGUUGGAUUCCAUCCCCACGACAACCUGUUCCUUCCGAACGCGGUUAUUGUUGGAUGGUUUGGAGAAGAACCAGAUAAUGAUCAUCCAAUGCCUCUAAAUGAUUACCAUGCUGAAUACCUUUCAUACGAUGCCAUCUCCGAACCCGAGAUUGAGGACCUACCCCAGGAAGCUCCCUUUCCAAUUCCUAACCCUCGUCCGACUUUUCAUGGCCUGACGCCUGAGUGGCUGGAAUGNUUCAUGGCCCGACGCCUGAGUGGGUGGAAUGUUUGGAAACAUGGAGCCAAGGACAAGAUCAACCCAUGCCAUUUAAUGGUGACCGAAGCUUCUAUGACCUAAGCAAUGGGGGCUCAGCAGACAGAAUCAUGCCAAUUCUGAUCCGAAGAGUUGCCCGAAACGAAAUUCAGGGCAGGACAGCUCUAAAACGUAUCGCAGAAGUUGAUACAAAUGGAGGAAUGCAUAUGCUUCGCACUAGUCGCCUUGAACAUGCUCGUGAGAGGUCUGAGAGAGACCAUGAAACCCUGCUGCAAGCAAUGGCUGAAUAACGAGCCGAAGUCAUAGAACUUCGAGUACGCCAGAGAGAGUACGAAAGGCGCCUACUUGAUGUGGAACGCCAACUGGCUGAACUGAGAGUUCACCAGAGGGAUGACCGUCGCUAGUAGUAGAUACAUUAAUUUAUAUUUCUUGUUAGAAAGGACUCGUGUUUCUGUCUAUGCCCGAUGUGCCAUUUUCUAUGAAACUAUCUUGUACCGUAAGUACUUCUGGUUAGGUCUUUACGCUGUCAGGAACUAUCUUCUCUGGAUAUGAUGUAAGACCUUGUUACAAGGUCAUUUUCCCGAACUUGUACGUCAUGAAUAUCAGAGGUAUUGACAGUUGGAAAACUUAUGUGUCAUUCUUUAUUCAAAUACUCUUAUCAUACCUUCAUUAGAGUCUAUUUGAAACAUGCUCUAAUCAAGUCAUUGGACUAUAGCAAUUUAACUCCUGAGACAUCUCCAAGUCUCUUUCAAUGGUUGGAUCACAUUAUUCACCAACCAACAAUACCUCGGCUCGAACAACAAACAUCUUGAGAACAUUGCAUGAAUUUACUUCCAAUCUUUGCUAGGACUGCAUCUUAGGGAUGUAGGUCAAACCUUCGUGAACAUAAUUCCAUUCCGUACUAGGACUGCAUCAUUGGGAUGUAGGUCGAACCUUAGGGAACAUACUUCUAUUCUUUACAUGAGCGAUCGAACUACGUUUAGGUUCAACCAUUCUUGCUCACAAACUCAUUUUCUUUCGGUGUAACAGAAUCAUGUCACCCAAGAAAAACGAUCAGCCCAUCAACCAAACACCAACUCUUCAGAUCGAUGCAGCUACCUUUCAAGCUGCAGUCUCGGCUGUCGUGUCAGCUAUUCUGACCCACCUGAACGCUAACAACGCAAGUGUUAGAGGGAUUGUUAACAAUCAUUCCAAUCCAAGUAACAAACGGAAGUCUUGGAAUAAACCUAAGGACACCAGUAACAACCUUCACAGCCACGACAUCAGCACCUCCAACUACCAUCCCUUCGGGCAUCCUAAUGGUCCCUAAAGCAGCCAGGCUUUAUGCUGGAAAUCUCCCAAAAUGCAUUAAAUGCAGUUUUCACCACCAUGGAUCUUGUAGGGAGAUGCAGUGCUCACACUGCAACAGGAAGGGGCAUACAACCCGUUACUGCAAGACUCCAACAGCUCAGCCUGCCCAAGUGCCAAACACCAGUGUGAACCAAACUUGUUACAGUUGUGGCAAGGUAGGUCAUUACAAAAGGAACUGCCCAUAGGCAGCAAAUGUUGGCACACACAGCAGUAUGCUACCGACCACCGCCGCAGGAGAGUCUACUCCGGACCCACGUUAAUGUAAUUUAGGCGUUUCGUUGUAACAGACUUAUGAACCAUCCCCAAGACUAGUGCAACCAGAGUCUUAUCUUUUGCGGGAUCCCGUCCGUUUAGGGAUGCUCGUGCUGCGUAUACUUGUCUUUUGUAGUAUAUCUUAUUCGCAGCAAUAGUCUUGUAGCAAAUCUAAAAAGUAUUGUAACUCUAUUCAUGGUUGCACAGUUGUUUUUGUCUGUAAACGUUUUAUUUUCAAAUCUAAUGUCUUUAAGUUUAUGUAUGAUUCCGACAUUAUCAUACGACUCGAUUCCAUUCGAUCCUCGCAAUGCCAGUUUGAUUAGUACAUCUCUUUCUCAGUAAACGUCUUUUAGCGAAGCCGUCAUAUCGGAACACCGGGGGUACUCGUGCAUGAAGUACCUUAUAGUUCCUUUCCUUUCCGAAGGAAUCCCCACAGUGUUACUCGUGCAGUACGUCAAGUUCAAUUCCAGGAUUCAUACAAUUGAUCUAUCACUGAAGAAUUUAUACAUGAGAGUGAUAUAUAAUCAAUGUUCUACAGGUUUAGAAUUGAUGAUUCCACUUUAACUUCUUUUCCCUCGAUGGGGUGUGAGAUUAAGGAAGAAUCAGUUAUUCAACUACCUUUUCAGUCUUAAUUAUAUACGACUCGUAUACACGAAAUUGUGUCAUUGAAUCNUGAAUCACGUAUGAAUUCUAAUAUGAACUUCAGGACGGAGACUGUCCAGGAGUACGAUUAAUUGCAUUGGCAUAGGAACAAACUUAGAACCCGGUAUGACUCUUAUAACCAGAUCGCCUUCAGUCUAAACACCUAUGGAAGAUACAAGAACAGCCCGGACAACACAAUGAACUACUCAACAAUAGAAUUAGGAGACCAUGCUUCUCACCCUUGAGAGCUCCAAUCUUAUUAUUACCAGAAGUCGACGGAGUGCAUCUUAUGUACGUCGACUACCAGAGACUUCAUUUAGAUUUCCUUUAGAAAUCGUUGUCUCUGCAUCGCUUAGACGAAUUGAUUAAGCAAACACAGGGAAAAAGUUACUUUUAGAAAUGGACCUGAGAUCCGAAUAUCACCAGUUCGAGUGAUAGGGAAGGAUGUCCUAAACCCUCCGAANGACUACCCUCCGAACUCGAUACGGACACUUCGAGUCCGUAGUGAUACCCCUCGGAUAGGACCAAUACGCCCAUAGUAUUCAUGAGCUAAAUGAGUGGAGUACGCCUUUCUUACUAGGAUCAGUUCGUCAUUUAUCCAUGAAAUGACUUACUUAUCUAUCCUCGUAGUAAGAAAGAACCCUUAGAAACAUUACCCUCGGAGAUACUUUUCGCAAUGUUCUCUGAACAUGAGGUUUGGAAUUAAGAGUCAGAUUUCCUGAGACACACUAUUAGUGAUGUGGAAAUUCUUGAGUAUUUUGUCAAAUCAUCCAAAACCGUUGGUAAUUUAUCGGCACCGUAGUCACCGACGGAAAAUUCGCCAAAUUCUAGGUCUUACAGACCUACUAUCAUAGUCCAUUCGUAACUCCCCACAAAUUUCAGAAACCCUUUCGAAUUUGACCCAACAAGGGAUGGCGCUUGACUGGGAAGUAAGCGAGAGAAAGAACCUUUGGAAUUCCAUGUGAGAGACCAAAUUCUUUAAGAAACCUCACUCUCGGAAUGGCUUAAAUACGCUUCGUAAGGCGUGGAAAGCUAAAUCCAAUAUAGUUAGGACCUCCGAGAUGCCUACCAAAAUCGGUCCUGCAUCUCACCGACUAGAUCUACUCCGCGUACUCAUUAACAUACAUGUUUACCUUCGCGUCUCAAUUUUUAAACAAUACCUUUUCGUUGGAACUCUCGUAAGCCCACUCGACAAAAUCGAUAUUUACGAGAUCCUCGCCUUCGUAUUAGAACCGUUGUGAUGCUCAACCGAGUGGUCUACCAGACGAAGCAGUGCCAUCGCCGUUAGUGAAGGUUCGUUGGGAUACCAACCGAGAACCCGAUUUUCACUUAGCAGCGCGAGAACCAAUCGAUUAAGAAGUUCACAUAACGACUCGAUCAUUCGUACAUACUUCCUUGCCUAAAUUCUAAUUUCAGGACAGAAUUCCCUUUUAACAGGGGGAUGAUGUGACAACCCAAAAUUUCCAUUCUGAACAAACAAUAUCACUUCAAUAGAAGUUAUAACAGUCACAGUAAAGUUUCAGACUUUUCGGAUAAGUUUGAGUAAUUCAGGGUUUACACUUCAGGAGACAUCAGGAGAGUGGAUGCACUUGGGUUUCGUCAACACUGUUAUUCCAACACUCUGUCAUAUUAGAAAUCAUUUCGGGAAUAAAAAUAUUUUCUGCCAAAAAUAUAUCAGGACUAUAAAUAGAAUUCUGAACCAAAUUCAUUCAUUAUUCGCAUUUCCAACUACAGAAAAGCCGUUUUCUCUCUCAUGGAUCUUCAGGUUUUUAUCCCAAAUCAUGAGUACUUCAAUCUAGUUGUAUUAUAUAGCUUAGAUUGUGCUUAAUAACAUCAAACUAACGACAAAACAGCAAGAUUUGAGAGUUUACUCCCCAAGAACAUCUUGGAGAGUAAACUCCUUUUCAAAGGCCAAAUGAGGCCUAGUCCUUCCUUAAGCCAUGAAACUAGUUUGGACUUAUACACUAACGAGUUUAGGGACAGAAAAGUAACUCAAAGCAACAAGAUUUGAGAGUUUACUCCCCAAGAACAUCUUGGAGAGUAAACUCCUCUUGGAGAGUAAACUCCUUUUGGAGAGUAAACUCCAUUUUAAGGGCCAAAAGUGUCACAAUGUCCCUCAAAGCCUUGGAAAUGAAUCUUGAGACUACCCAUGACAUGUUUAGACAUCCAAAACAAAUAGAAUCAAGGGUUGAAAGUGAGUUCACGGCCAAGGAAGUUCUUGGACCGUGAACUCCAUUUUAGGGUGUCAAAAUGCCCUAAAUUCCACCCUUAAGCCAAGAGACUAGCAUAGCCUUUUACCUUGAUGUGUCUAAGACCCAAAACAACCAAAAUACCAACACCCACAAGUUUUUAUGGCCGCAAACACAUGACCAAAUGGUCUAUGGGCCGAAAAGUCAAGUUAGGGGUUUUUUGGUGCCACAAACACUUCCUAAGGCCUAGGCAUGAAUUUAGAAUGCUUCCUUAUGACCUUUAAGACCCUCAUAAACAUAUUUGGACACGAGUUUACGGUUGUAAACUCAUUUGGGCCGUGAACACCCCAAAAGUGCCAAAAGAAGUGGUCUUUCUCAUCCUAGGCUAAAGCUAAUGUCCCUAAAUCAUUCCCUAGCUUUCAUACUUGCACUAACCCAUGAGUAACCAUGAGUUUAUGGCCGUAAACUCCCUUGGGCUGUGAACUCAUGGUAGUAAACUCAUUUGUGUGCCUUAUACCUUCCUAUGUUGAAUCACAUGUGAUUCCAACACUUGAUCAAGGUGUUUCAUAGUCCCGGAAGGUGUUAUCUUUCAUAUAGUUGUUAUAAACACUAUAUUCAUGUCAUUAUGUGUCCUUAAAUAUCAUUUAUGACUUAUUGUGUCUCGGGACUUCAUUCGUGGAACUUCUCAUCCAUACACGUGUACCCGCUAGAAUCACUCACAACAGGUGAGUUCAUACCCCUAAUCAACGUUUUAAAUAAUUUUAAAUGAUUUAAUGGGGGGAAUACAAGUAGAAAACAACAUAUUAUUAAAUCAUUUAUAUGUAUUUUAUAAUUGUGUUUUAAAUCAGCAGAUUUCACAUACUACAAAAUGUGAUGCAUGAAAUGGUUUUAAAUCUUAAAAAUACUUUGUUAUCAAAUGUAUUACUUUUGAAAUGUUUAUUAAAGUGACACCAAGUCAUUGUUAAUUAUUGUUCAAAACUCNNNNNNNNNNNNNNNNNNNNNNNNNNNNNNNNNNNNNNNNNNNNNNNNNNNNNNNNNNNNNNNNNNNNNNNNNNNNNNNNNNNNNNNNNNNNNNNNNNNNNNNNNNNNNNNNNNNNNNNNNNNNNNNNNNNNNNNNNNNNNNNNNNNNNNNNNNNNNNNNNNNNNNNNNNNNNNNNNNNNNNNNNNNNNNNNNNNNNNNNNNNNNNNNNNNNNNNNNNNNNNNNNNNNNNNNNNNNNNNUGUUACAUAGGUGCAUUAUCCUGUAUUCACUUACCUGGAUACUUGUACUUAGAACUACGAGGAUGAUUUAUUAGUACUUUCUGUGUAAAUUAUCUUUCCUAUCCCGGUUCAAUGGGAUAUCUCGGUGGGACUAACCAUUCUGAACCCCGCUGAUUAGCACCAGUGGUCGAUGACCAUCUACGGAGGUCUAUGGUUACUAUUUAUAUUAUGUAGAUCGAUAUCUAGGCGGGACUAACCAUUCCGAAUCCCAUCUGAUUAGCACCAGUGGUCGAUGACCAUCUACGGAGGUCUAUGGUUACUAUUUAUAUUAGGUAGAUCGAUAUCUAGGCGGGACUAACCAUUCCGAAUCCCAUCUGAUUAACACCAGUGGUCGAUGACCAUCUACGGAGGUCUAUGGUUACUAUUUAUAUUAGGUAGAUCGAUAUCUAGGCGGGACUAACCAUUCCGAAUCCCAUCUGAUUAACACCAGUGGUCGAUGACCAUCUAUGGAGGUCUAUGGUCACUAUUUAUAUUAGGUAGAUCGAUAUCUAGGCGGGACUAACCAUUCCGAAUCCCAUCUGAUUAAAACCAGUGGUCGAUGACCAUCUACGGAGGUCUAUGGUUACUAUUUAUUUUAGGUAGAUCGAUAGAAGGGGCUAACCCCUCCACCCACCUACUGCUGCUACAGAGGGCAAGUGGACAAUCUUCGGAUGUUCAUUAGGUUAUACCUUUCGCUUAUUGCGAUGUUGUGUUACUCCUAGUACCCAACGAUAACACUUACAUUAAUACUUUUUCUGGACAAUCUUCAGAUGUUCAUUAGGUUAUCUAUUUCGCUUAUUGCGAUGUUGUGUUAGUCUUAGUACCUAGUGCCAACACUUCCACGAGUAUAUUUUUCCUAUUUACUUUAUUUUGUGACACAUUCACCUAAACAAAGAGUUAGACUAAGUACUUUUAGUACUAGUCAAUAGAAAGGAAAAACUAUCAUUUUACUUACAAAACAUUCGGGUCUUGGUAGAAGACUACAUUAUCAUAACAAAACAUCCGGGUCUUGGUAGAAGACUACAUUAUCAUAACAAAACAUUCGGGUCUUGGUAGAAGACUACAUUAUCAUAACAAAACAUUCGGGUCUUGGUAGAAGACUACAUUGUCAUAACAAAACAUUCGGGUCUUGGUAGAAGACUACAUUGUCAUAACAAAACAUUCGGGUCUUGGUAGAAGACUACAUUAUCAUAACAAAACAUUCGGGUCUUGGUAGAAGACUACAUUGUCAUAACAAAACAUUCGGGUCUUGGUAGAAGACUACAUUGUCAUAACAAAACAUUCGGGUCUUGGUAGAAGACUACAUCUCAAACUAAUAGAAAAUAAGGGAUUUUCUAGGGCUUUUCAUACUUACAUCAACAUUUUCAUUUAAAGGUUUACAUGACUUUUAAAACAGCUUUUCAAAGCAAGUCAAUGGCACUUAAAUACUUAUGAAUUCAUCAGCUUUAAAGCUUAUACUCUCUUUCAAAAUAACUCGUAUUCUCAGGUCAUCACAGGUAUGGUGGCCAGGUCUUGAGAAGACGGAGGAAACAAGUCUCGUCUUUUAUUUUGAUUAUAUAUUUUUGGUGUUUUAUUACAAUGAAAGAACACAUGUAUUAAAACUUUACUUAUAAUGCAAUGGAUGAUGUUGUUGCUUGUUUACUACUUUUACACUGUUGUGAUACUGUACUUGACGUCCUCCACCCGUGAACAUUUCCGCCGUUCGUGGUUUUGGGGUGUGACAAUUUACAUCUUCAAUACUUACAAUUCGUAUACAUACAAAUACUUACAUCUCAAAUACAUACAAGUAUUUACAUACAAAUUAAGACACUAAAAUACUUAUGAUCUCACCAGCUUCAAAGCUGAUACUCGCUUUCAAAAUUACUUGUAUCCUCAGGUCAUCAUAGACAGGUACCGAUGCUAGGAUUAAGGAAGAUGUAGCUUGAUCAAAACUCAUCUUUCAUUUUGAUUUAUACAUUAGUGUCUAUUAGACAUAUCAGAACACACUUGUAUUAAAAUUAUAUUAUUAAUGAAAUGGAUGAUGUUGUUGCUUGUUUACUACUUUUCAUUGUUGUGAUACUGUACAUGACGUCCUCCGCCCCAGAACGUUUCCACCGUUNCGCCGUUCUUGGUUUUGGGGUGUGAUAGAUUGGUAUCAGAGCAUUGUUUAUAGUGAAUUAAGUAUAUCAACCCAUAAAAGAUAUACUAACUAUAAAUACAUAAGGGAUUAAAAAUACUCUGACCAAGAUUUUAUACUUUAAAUAAUAAAAUAUUUAAUUAAGUAUACGUGCCUGCAUUCAUGCUAAAAUUAGUGUCACUAGGACAGUACAAAAGAAUUUCGGUUGUUGGGCAACACAGAUUGACUUAGAAACAUAUAGUCAAAACUGGGAAGAUAUAGUCUGAUCACCUAUAUUAUCCGAGGGUUGACUAGCAUGUGCCUAAGUGUAGUUGUGUGGUUGCAACAAGUCUAAGAUCUUACCAACGCUACCACAAUGAGAAUAGUAGAACAUAACAUUAAACUUAAAAUACUAUAGGAGUAUUUCGUGUUACUAUAAGUACUUUAUACUUGAGAACUAAAACGGGAUCUUCAUUACUAAGUUGAUCGUUGCUAAGUGGAUACACUAAGGCUAUAUGUAAUUAGGAUGUUAUAGACUUAGAAUCUGUGAAAAUUUUACUUCACCCCUAUUAUGUGUGAAUAUGGAGUUAAGGUCACUUAUUCGAAGGCCUAUUCUGUUUCGAUUACAUAUAACUGGUAUGCACUUCACAGAUAGCGAUGUAACUGAUGAAGAUUUUCUAAAUAGUUAUCUAGAUAGUUCGUCUAAUAAUUAUUUUCUCACCCCAAUUCUCGCAUAGAUAACAUGGCUGGACUCCAUCCCCACGUCAACUAGUAUCUUCCAAACGAAGUCAUAGCUGGUUGGUUUAGAGAAGAAAUAGAGAAUGAUCAUCCUAUCCCUUUGAAUAAUCACCAUGAUGAAGACCUUUCGGACGGUGCUAAUUCCGAACCAGAGGUUGAGAACCUACCCCAAGCAGCUCCCUUCAAAUUCCUAGCCCUCGUCCGGCUUUUCAUGGCCCAACGCCUGAGUGGGUGGGAUGCUUGGAAAAAUGGAGCCAAGGACAAGAUCAGCUCAUGCCAUUUAAUGGUGACCGAAACUUUUAUGACCUAAGCAAUGGGAGGCUCAACAGACAGAAUCUUGCCAAUCUUGGUCCGCAGAGUGGCCCGAAAUAAGAUUCAAGGCAGGACAGCCCUACAUCAGAUCACGGAAGUUGUCAUCGAUGCGGGAAUGCAUACCCUCCGCACCAUUCGUCUAGAAGAUGCUUGUGAGAGAUCUGAGAGAAACCAUGAAACCCUACUUCGAGCACUGGCUGAAUCACGAGCCGAAGUCUUAGAGCUCCGAGUACGCCAAAGGGUGUACGAAAGACACCUACUUGAUGUGGAACGUCAACUGGUUGAACUGAGAGUUCACCAGAGGGAUGACCGUCGCUAGUAGUAGACACUUUACUUUAUUUUCCUUAUUAAAAGGAAUCAUUUUUCUGUCUAUGCUCGAUGUAGCAUUUCCUAUGAAAUUAACUUGUACUGUAAGUACUUUUGGUUAGGUCAUUAUGCUGUCAAGAACUAUCUUCUCUCGAUAUGAUGUAAGACCUUUACAAUGUCAUUUUCCGAACUUCUACGUCAUGAAUAUCAAAGAUUUUGAUAGUCGGCUAACUUAUGUGUCAUUCUUUAUUCAAGUACUCUUAUCAUACUUUCAUUGGAGCCUAUCUGAAACAUACUUUAGUCAGGUCAUUGCACUAUAGUAAAUUAACUCCGGAGACAUUUCCAAGUCUCUUUUAAUUGUUAGAUCAUGUUAUUCACCAACCAACGAUACCUCUGAUUGAACGAACGACGUCUUGAGACCAUUCUUGGGAUGUCGGUCAAACUUUUGAGAACAUAGACGUACUCGUUACGUGAAUAAUCUAAGUACAUCAAGGGUCAACCAUAAUCGCUCACAAAAUCCUUAUCUUUCGUGUUACAGAAUCAUGUCGUCAUCCAGAAGGAAUUAGUCUAACAGCGAAACCUCCGCUUUUCCUAUGGACGCCGCUACCUUCCAAACAGCAGUUACAGCUGCCGUGGUGGCUACCGUAACCACCGUCCUUGCGCACCGUAGCACUAUCAGCACAAUCAAUGUUGAUGAUGGAAUUGAAGUUUCCAAUCGUGGUAUCCAUCCACGAAGUUGCCAAACGGUAACAGUCACAAGCUCGCAAAGCCGAAAAGCAGAGAACAUGAAGCGAAAGCGUCAAGCCCGGAAAGAAUGCAAGAGAUCUAGAAGGCUAGCUAUGCAACAACAACAAGUGGAAACUCCUGCCAUCCCCGUACCGAGCAUGCCAUGUGAGGGAAAACUCCCGAAGUGUGAUAAGUGUAGUUUCCAUCAUCAUGGGGCUGGUCAUGAGAUGAAAUGUUGCAAUUGCCUAAGAAUAGGGCACCAUGCUCGUAGCUGUGGAGCACCAACACAACCCAUCGCUCAAGUCCCUGUCAUCGUGACCGACCCUACACACAGAAGUAGUGAUAAAGCCGACCGCUUUAGGGAGCAAUAUAAGGGAACGAUUCCGAAGUGUAGCAAGUGUGGCUAUCAUCAUAAUGGAGCCUGCCGGUUAUUGCAAUGUACCAAUUGCAACAGACUGGGACACAUUGCUCGUUUCUGUAGAGCUACCUCCACCACUGGAGCAAGCCUAGUUUGCUAUAAUUGUGGUGAGUUUGGGCACUAUAAAAUAGAUUGCCCGAAAAAGGAAGUCAACGAAAACAACCGUAUCCCCGUGACUUCCACUCGACACUUCACUUCCACCACCAAUGUUGGUGAUGUCCAUAUAUGUCAUCAAUGCGGUGAAACUGGACACCUCAAGAAGGAUUGCCCGAUAGCGAAAAACUCGGGAGCAGAUGGGAAGAUUCUCAAGAUCACAGCUGUAGGAGAACCUACUCCGGAACCGCGUUAGUGUAAUUUAGGAUUUUCGUUGUAUUAGACUUAUAAUCUAUCCCGAACUAGUGCAACUAGAGUCUUACCUUUUUGUGAGAUCCUGUCAGUAUAAGGAUGCUCGUGCUACGUAUACUUGUCUUUUGUAGUAUACCUAAUUCGCAGCAAUGGUCUUGUCGUAAGUCUAAAGUACCGUAGCUUUAUUCAUAGUUGCACGGUUAUGUUUUGUCUGUAAAACGUCUUAUGUUCAAAUCUAAUGUAUUUAAGUUUCAGUAUGAUUUCGACAUUAUCAUACAACUAGAUUCAAUUUGAUCCUCACAAAAACAGCUUCCUACGUACAUCUCUUUUGUCUAGAUUGCUUUUCUAGCAUAGCUGUCAUAUCAGAACACUGAAGUACUCAUGCCAGGAGUACCUCUUAGUUAUUUUAUUUCCGAAGAAAUCCCUAAAGUACCACUCGUGCAGUACGUCAAGUUCAAUCCAAGGAUUUAUGCGAUUGAUCUAUCACUGAGGAAUGUAUACAUAAGAGUGAUAUAUAAUCAAGGUUCUACAGGUUUAGAAUUGAUGAUUCCACUUUAACUUCUUUUUCCUUGAUGGGAUGUGAGCUUAAAGAAGAAUCAGUUAUUCGACUACCUUUUCAAUCUUAACUAUAUACGACUCGUAUACACGAGAUUGUGAUUGUGAAACCAUGUAUGAAUUCUAAUAAGAACUUCAGAACGGAGAACUGCCCAAGCCUACGAGUAAUCGCAUCGUCAUGUGAACAAACCGAGAACCCAGUAUGACUCCUGUAAACAGAUCGCCCUAUAGUCUAAACACCUUCGGAGAUACAAGAACAACCCAGACAACUUAGCAAACUACACAGAAAGAGAAUUAGAAGACUAGGUUUCUCACCCUAGAGAACCCCAGUCUUAUCCUUCCAGAGAUCAACGUAUUGCAUCGUAUGUGCCUCGGAUAUCGAGGACUCUGUCAAGAUUUUUCAUUAGAAAUCGUUAUCUCUGUCUCGCAUAGAUGAAAUGGUUGAGCAAACACAAGGAAAGAAUUACUUUCAGAAAUGGGUCUGAGAUCCGAAUAUCACCAGUUUGGGUGUGAGGUAAGGAUGUCCAGAGCACUACCUUCCGAACUCGAUACGGACACUUCGAGUCCGUAGUGAUACCCUUCGGAUAGGACCAAUACGCCUAUAGUUUUCAUGAGCUAAUGAGUAGGGUACGUCCUUCUUACUUGAAUCAGUUUGUCAUUUCUCCAUGUAAUGACUUACUUAUCAAUCCUCGUAGUGAGAAAAAAAUCCAUGGAAACAUUACCUUCGGAAGAACUUUCGGGAAGUUCUCUAAGAACAAGUUUUGAUAUUGUAGAGUCAGGUUCCUAUGACACACUAUUAGUGAUGUGGGAAAUUUUUAGUACUCAUACAAUUUGUCAAAACUGUUGAGAAUUGGUCGACAUCAGAGACGCCGACAGUCAUUCGCCAAAUCCUAGGUCUUUCAGACCUACUGUCAUAGUUCAUCCAGAAUUCCCCGCAAAUCAGAGAAACCUUUACGACUUUGACCCAGCAAUGGGUGGCCCUUGGCUGGGAAGUUAAACGAGAAAAAGAAACCUUGGAGAUUCCAAGUGAGAGACCAAGUUCUUUAGGAAAACUCACUAUUAGGAAUGGCCUAAUGCGCUUCGCUUCACGUGGAAAGCUAAAUCCAAGUUAGUCAGGACCUCCGAGAUUCUUACCAGAAUCGUUUUUGUGCCUCGCAGACUAAACCUACUCCGCGAACUCGGUAACGUACAUUUUACCCUUCGCGUCUCGAUCUUGAAACCGUACAUUUCCAUUAGGACUCUUGUAAGUCCACUCGUCGAGAUCCAUGCCUUCGUAUUAGAACCAUAGUGACCCUCGACCGAGAGGUCAAGCGGACGAAGCAACGUCGCCGCCCGUUACUAAUCGUUCGUUGGGAUACCAACCGAGGACCCUAUUUCACUUAGGAGCGCGAGAACAAAUCGAUUAGGAAGUUCCCCACCUCAUGACUCGAUCAUUCGUACUUACUUUCUUACCUAAAUUAUAAUUUCGGGACGAAAUUCCCUCUAACGGGGGGAUGAUGUGACAACCUGAAAUUUCUAACUUACAUUCAUCAUUGUAAUUAAAGUUAGCUUCGUUUUGCUAUAUUAUAAUGAAGUUUUGGGUCUAAAAGAGUGCUUAAAGAGUUCUUAAAGCUUAGUAUAUUUGAGUUACAUGUCGGAGGAUGGAUUAGAUUGGGUGUAGCAUUAGAAAAACGGGCUAAACACACCAAACCUGGUGUGUGUAGCCGCACACUAGAGUGUGCGGCCAACCAGAAGCACACAGGCCAACCACACACACCUCCAACCGCACACAGCCUCCGAUAAGUACUAUCCUUGGUCAUUUUGAUCAUUACUUACACUCUUGCAAAGCUAGGACUCGAAAAUCCUCUCAAGUAUCAUCCGGAAAGGUAACAUCUUUCACCAAGAACACCAAGAACACAAAGAACACCAUGCUUUCUGGAAGCACACGCUUCUGGCAGCACACCUGGCCGCACACAUGGCCACACACAUGUGCUGCCAGCACACCUGGCCGCACACACACAUAUAGUGUGUAUUUUGGCCAUACACUCCCUUGUAUAGCCUUUUAACCCUUCGUACAAUAAUUUAUGGUUGUAACACUUCAAUAUAAGUGUACACUAGUCCCUAAGGUGGUCUCAAUUCAUAAAUUAGUUCUUCAUAACACUAAUGAUAUUCAUAUAUGUGCCAAUAUAUGCUAAAUAGGAUUCGCGUGUGUACUCAAGUCACCACUUGAUACUUAGCAACUGAUCCAAAAUUUUCAUCAGAACCACUCACUACAGGUGAGUUCAUAUCCCUUAAUCAAUGUUUUAACUAUUUUUAAAUGUUUUAUGGGGGGGGGACACAAGUAGAAUAAUGCUAGUCAUUAUAUUAAUCACAUGUGAUUAAUAAGCAACAUUCAAAUGGUUGGCUACUCAUUAGCCGUUUUACCAAACAGUUUACUUCAAAUGUUUUUCAUAAACACUUUAUGUGUUUAAAACUCCUUAUUACACUGUACAUUUUACUCCAUAUGUUUUAUUUCAAACUUAUUUACAAUUGUGAUUCAAACAAAUGUUUCCUUAUACUAAAGUUGUUUUAUCAAACCCAUGCCUUCAAAACGUUUUAUAAAUGGACAUCAAGUCGAUCUUUUCUUAGAUAAUAAUUAUGUUCAAAGGUUUUACAAAACUGAUUUUAUGCUUUUAUAUUAUAAAUUGCAUGCCUCUAUAUGUAUAGUUAUAUAAGUAAUAUUUAAAAGACUUAGGAAGGCUAUCCACCUUGUUUCCUUUUCCUCGAUUUGGAUGUGGUCUGAUAGGAUAUCGGGUACUUGUCCGAAGGUCGUUUAAAUAUUAGUUAUAUAUCAUGUGUACAUAUAUAGUCAUAAAAGGUCCUUCUAGUUCAUCCAAUUCCCUUGGGUAGCAAGGAUAUACAUCCAUGUUCAUAAUUCCUAGUUAGAUUACUAGUAAACUACCAUAUGGGUAGUUUAGAAAGAUACUAAAACUAUUACUAGAACACGAUACCAUACAAUGAGUCAGUUCAUUCAUGAGUCAAUACUUGCUAGAACAUUACAGCACAUUACUAUGCUUGGUAGAUAGAGAGCACGUACACUAGAGCUAGAACAUUACAGUACAUUACUAUAUUUGCUAGAUAGAGAGCACGUACACUACAGUUAGAACAUUACAGUACAUUACUAUACUUGCUAGAUAGAGAGCACGUACACUACAGCUAGAACAUUACAGUACAUUACUAUACUUGCUAGAUAGAGAGGACAUACACUACAACUAGAACAUUACAGUACAUUACCAUACUAUUACAUAGAUAUGGUCACAUGAUCACAUUUACAUGAGUACACUUACAAGAAUUAUUAGUACAUUUUAUAUGUAUAGAUUCUGUUAUAUAAUCUUCAUUCUUAUCUUUACCUUGUGAUUCAAUCACAUAAUCGAUGAGAUAGAUUGGAUUUAAUAUCCUAGUACCCAAGGAUACGUUGCGGGACUGACCAUUCCUAGAAUCUCUGUUAGCUACAGAGGUAAAAGCACAUCCACGGAUGUCAACGGUUGAUCCCAUUACAGGUAUACUUUUGGGGACUGACUAUUCCUAUACCCAGCUGUUAGCAACAAAGGUAAAUGUACAUCUACGGAUGACUUUAGUUAACAUUGUUAGUUGCCCUUGUUCCAAAGGGUAAUACUAAUACAGCUUGGUCUUGGUAGAAGACUACAUCUAGAACAGUUAGGUCUUGGUAGAAGACUACAUUCAGAACAGUUAGGUCUCGGUAGAAGACUACAUUCAAAGCAGUUAGGUCUUGGUAGAAGGCUACAUUGAGAACAGUUAAGUCUUGGUAGAAGACUCCUUUUGAUACUAAAAGGAAUCAUAGGGAUUUCUAGGGCUUUUCAAACGUUUACAGUUGUUUUACAAACAUUUUCAUACAUACAGUUCAUUUACAUCUUCAAUACUUACAAUUCGUAUACAUACAAAUACUUACAAUUCAAAUACAUACAAGUAUUUACAUACAAAUUAAGACACUAAAAUACUUAUGAUCUCACUAGCUUGAAAGCUGAUACUCGUUACUUGUAUCCUCAGGUCAUCAUAGACAGGUACCGAUGCAAGGAUUAAGGAAGAUGGAGCUCGAUCAAGACUCAGCUUUCAUUUUGAUUUAUACAUUAGUGUCUAUUAGACAUAUCAGAACACACUUGUAUUAAAAUUAUAUUAUUAAUGAAAUGGAUGAUGUUGUUGCCUGUUUACUACUUUUCAUUGUUGUGAUACUGUACAUGACGUCCUCCGCUCUAGAACGUUUCCGCCGUUCAAUGGUUUUGGGGUGCGACAGUCGUCGUUUCAUGUUUUCUACUUUUCAGUUAUUUGUAUUCAACUUUUGAACAAAGAGAGUUUGUAAACAAUGUAAUACUUGAAUCUCAAUGUAUGAAUAUUUGUGUUGCUAUGUUUCAUUUAUAUUCAAUUUUUAUGAUACUUUACAUUAAGCCACUCCAUCCGCCCCUAGACAUUUCUGCCAUUCUAGUUUAGAGGUGUGGCAUUGGUCAUAGAAAAUCAUGAAAUGCUGACGUCAUGGUAGUAUCCUUUUGAUGAUCUAUCAUGUAGUUGCACGUCUGAACUAGAAUGGGAGCUUAGAUAUGUCAUGAGGUUAUGUUUCUUUAUUUGAUAUGCUCGUGGGAGAGGUGGGUUAGUAAUAAUUUGUUAGGAAGAAGAGUGUGCAUCAGAAGCCCUUUUAUGUAUGAUUUUUCUGGAUUGGGGAUUUUUUGAGUUGUUAUGAUCCGGAUGUUUUGAGUGCUCGCUUCACCGUGGGAUGGCACUAUUCCUAGUUUAGGGACAGGGAGAUGAGUAAAUUAGGAAGGUGAUCGUCAGUCUUGGAUGGUGGUUGUGGUAAACUAAUUCCCAGUUUUGAGUGGUUUUGUAAGGAUAUUGAGUAAAAUGUCGGUGGUGAUAAUGGGGUUGUUGCGAGUUGUCUAAGUUCAAAUGGUUGGGUUUGAAAUGAUGAUUUUACAUAUCUUUAUGCCCAAGAGUAAUUAUGGAAUUAUAUAUCUAGAUAGUAUAUGAUCCCUAAGGGUCACAUAAUGAACAACAUGAUACAAAUAUGUCACUUAUAAGUAUUUGAUUCUUGUUAAAUAUUUAUACUCUUGUAAUAAAUUGGAAAUUAUUUGUAUUUAGGAGAAUAGUAAACUUCAAAAACAAGUAUCAAAAAAAAAAUCAUAAGGAAAGAUUUGUAUGGUUAUGUACAUUAUAUAUAUAUAUAUAUAUAUAUANNNNNNNNNNNNNNNNNNNNNNNNNNNNNNUAUAGUUUUGGUAUAUAAAUGAAAUAUGCAUGACUAGUAAUUAUAAGAAUAAAAUGAAAGGUUCUAUUUCUCUUCCCUUUUGACCAGAAUUACGUGAGCAAGCACGUUAGACAUGCUUGUGCCAUUCUUGAUUAUUUUAUUAAGCUUAGCCAUGAUUUAGAAGUAUAUAUUGUUGGAAUGAUAAAACAUGGGUCAUUAUUAAAGGGGAUAUACAGGAAAAGGCUUUGAUGUCUUCUAUAUGAUUCCUUCUUUUAAGUUAUCAUGAAUUGCUUUCAAUGAAAAGAAAUUCUUCCAUUUUUCUCUCUUCUUCUUAAAGCUUAAGACAUGAGAAUAAUGAUUUGAUGCUUGCAUUUUUCUCUCUUUUAAGUUAAAUGUGAUAUGUGUCUUUAAAAAUUGAGUGAUUAUUACUAUUACAAGAAUAGAGACAAGCAUCUUUUCAAGUUAAAGAAUUGUUGGUGUUUCUAACUAAGGUAGGUUUCUACUCUACAUUCUUCAUCAACUUCCAACCUCCCAUGAAGAAUUAAAGUCUUCAAAGUUUGUAUUCUUUUUUCCUAUGGUUGUAUUAAUCUUUCUAAGUUUUGAAAAAAAAAUAUACUUGGUGGGUAAUAUGGUUUUAGUUUAUUCCAAUCUAAAAAUGCUUUCGUUACUAAUUAUGCCGAAUUUGUCACUAUAAUUGGACUUUUUUGAAUAAAAGCAAACAGUUGUUUAGGUUCCAAGUGGCCACAAGAACCCGUUUAUUUGUAGUGGCGAAAUAUGAGGGAUUAUAAAGAUUAUUAAGGAUAGUAAAAGGUUUGUCUUAUGCAAUUUAGCCAAUACAGAUUUUGAGAACGAAUCUAGUCCAUGUGGCUUCAGUUAACUUCUAGGGAGUUGACCCUAUUUAUUGUAGUUAACUUCUAGGUUUUUCUCUCAUUUGCAGACUCCACCUCCAUUAAAGAAAACCUAGCCCUUAUUUUGUCCAAUUUUGAGACAUUGAGCUGAGUAUGAGUUUUCGUUAUACAAAGGGACAUAGUUGUGACAUUCUAUAUGAGGCGCUUCUGUCGGUAUUGUCCUUUAGACACUACUGUCAAGGUUAUAAUGUUCUCUAUUAGGUGCAGCUACUGAUAUUAUCCUUAGAGUGUAGCUUCUAGGAUGUUUAUUGUAGAUCAACAACAUCUACAGGUUGUGGCGUAGCUGCGAGUGCUCAUCUAUAGGGUACUAGGUCCAUUGCUGCCGAUGUUCACCUAUAGGGCACUAGGUCCAUACCACUAACAUUCCUCUAUUUCAACUUUCACCCCUCUUCCUUCAUCUACCCAUUUUUUACCCAACAUAUUUUGUAGAUAUAAAAGUACGUAUACAGUUUAAAACAUUUAAAACGUGUAUAAAAGUCUCUCACCCAACAUAGACAGCAAGUAUUCAGACAAUAUGCACACAUAUCACGUAAUUGUUGGGUUUUGAGCAUUCUAACACUCCUAAGUGUACAUGCAACCCUAAAUACCUUGGAUCUAUGUUUUCUCUAUUAUACAUGCAAAUAUGAACAUCCAAGGUAUUAUCCUAAUCUAAGCUAUAAAACAAUGAAUAUAACAAGAUAGAAUGCAUACCUCUUUGAUGUAGAAUGUCUUCAUGAAGUUUGAGUGCCUAGUGCGCCAAGUGUGACACCUAAAAUGGUUCACACAAUAUCAUAUGCUUUUGGAAUAACUUUGAGAGAAAUGUAGAACACUUGAAAUCGGCUAGCCCUUCUCUAUAUUACCUAGUGCCGAUUUUGGUCAAGAAUAAGAUGCAUAUAUAGUUAGGGUUACACCAUGUAAACCCUAAUUGACAUGGCCUUUCAUUUCUAUGAUCCAUGGGUAUAAAAAACACCAUGGAGCAUCCAUGUAGCAUCAUAUGGGUUUUAGCCCAACUAGAUAAUCCAUGGAGCAUUAGCCCACUAUAUAAUUAUGGAUGAUUUAUACAAUCAACCCAUAUAUUUAAUUAGUCUUCUUUUGGUCACUUAAUUAAUCCUAGAUUAAUUCUUGAUCAAUACUAAUUAAAUAAUCUUAUUAAUAUAUUAGAACUUAUAAUAUAUUAACCAACCUUAAGUGUUAUUUCUCUCAUUAUAGUCUAUCCAAAUGCAUGAUGCCAUGCAACCCAAAUGGACUAUGUUGGGUCGGGUCAAAUCUUACCAAUUAUAGUUAUGGACUUAGCCAUUAAUCAUACAGUCUCCCACUUGGAUAAGUCUAAACUAUUAUUGCGUAUGACUUCAAGAACCGACUAGAAAUCAUAGCUCUCAAAAGCUUAUGUCGAACUCUGACCUUGUAGAUGAACUUUGACCUUUGUCAAUGACUUGUCCAUUAGAUAAGGGAUCAUAUAUUCCUCCAUUCUAGAUAUCAUAUGGAAUGAUACAUGGAUUAUAAUCAUUCUAUCUGCCCAUUUGUUGUUUCCCGAUUUCCGAUUUAUGACGACUGACUAAUUGAACAAAUCAAAUCAGUCCUGGCCCGGCCGAGCACUUCCAUUUGUCAUCAUCAAAUCAUCGAGGGGCCCACAGAUAUCGCUUUUAUCCCGAAGGUAAAAGGAAUGGAUAAACUUCGACUCAUAUGGCUUGUUCUACUACUUGUUGAAUCAUACACAAAGGCACGUUUUAUAGCACCGAGUUACCAAAUGCGUUUUCGUGCAAUCAAUGUACAACCAACUCAUAGUAACAACUCAUAUCUCUAGGUUUGAAGAAUAUAAGAUAUUAUCGUCUCAUGAUCACUCGUGAUAAAAUCCAUGAAGUGAUUCCAAUGAGCGCGGGUUGAAUCCAAUACUCAGAACUUAUGAGCACUCAUUAGUGUUGUAGCCCUUUGUCCAACACCUUAGACCUCUACAAGCCAACCCAUGACAGUCUUGAUUCAUAUCUACUUCCAACAUAUGACCGACUGUGGAUGAUUUGAAUAACUUAGUCAAUCGGAACAAUGACCUAAUUAUUAUGGAAGUCAAAACAUGCAAAUUGAAACACAAUAAUAAUCGAAUCCAAUAUGGUAUCAAAACCUAUGAACAUAAAUAAAACACCUUUUAUUUAUCACCAUAUGAUUACACAUUAUUCAUUGUAUACUGUUUCAGCUAUCAACUUUAUUCUUGAAUUUAAAACAAUAGUUGUCCCAUGCUCCAAGCAUGUACACUAUGUUUUCUAAAAACUAGUCAUGCCAUACACCAAGUAUGCAUACUAUGUUUGUCUAUGAUCUUUACUUUGUGAACUAGAUCAAUUGAACAUAACUUCAAUGAUUCUCUUUUCACACUCCCAAAUCCUUACUGCAAAUGCAAGAAUUCCAAAUUCAUGCCAUUUACUGAAAUCUGUUAGAUUCUAAACUUAUAUGCAUUGAUCCUCUUGUAAUGAUUAUGCACAAAGUCAGAAAGACUUGACAACAAUCAUUACAGAGUAUUCCAAAGGAGAUCAGCUCCUUGGAAACAUCCUUCUUGCAUUAAGUUUCCUAAUCUUAAACAGAUUGAAAAUUCUAACUUUGAAACAUUUCCAGAUUCCAUUUUGACUAUCACUUCUGAACAAGAGUUGCCUCCUUACAGAUUAUGUCAAUAUGGUCCUUCCAGAAUUAUCACUAUACUUCCAACUGUCCUUGAGCAACCAAUCUUUGGUAAACCUUAGAUUGUCCUCGACAAUUGUUUAAUCCUUUUAGUCAUAUCCAGUUCUAAACCUUUUCCCUUCUUAAUGCCCCAGGCAUUUGGAAAAUUUUAGAAAGGAUGAAUAUAGCACAUGUACUCGAUCCUAUAUCUGAAGCAUAUGGGACGCGAUUCAUGAUGUCUCACAUAAAGACUAAACCAGUCUUUUGCUAUAAUAUUUCCAUUUCAAUUUGCCAAGUUCUCAUAAUUCAGAUUAUGAAAAGGGAUGCCGUAAUCAUAAUCGAAUUUUAGAACGCAAAUAAUGGACCCAUAUACAGAAUUUCCUUAUGUUGAGCCAUUCCAACAUGAAAUUCAUAUAUAUCCUUGACUAAAUGAUUAAAACCUCACGAUCUAAGCUUAUAGAUUUGAGAUGAAGUAUAAUUUCCUCUCCCUUAAUUAUAGCAAAACAACUUUUUCCCAAUUGAAACUUUUGUUUUCUAUAAUUAACAUUGCUAACUUGCAAUACUUAUCAUAAUUAUCAUGCUCCCACUAACAUGAUGAUUAUUAGCAUAAAACUUAUGCUCCCACAAGCUUUGACAUUUACUUAGAAAUCAGCUGACUUUCUUACCAAAGUUCAAAUUUCUGAUACUAGAUUGUUUUGAUAAAACUUUAUCAAAAUCAUACACCUUCCCUUAGAUAGCACACUUGUGUGUCUAAACAAUUAUAAAGAGGGAUGCCGUAAUCAUAAUGAUUAGACCUUUUGCCACUUCUCAGAAGUCCAGGUUAGUGUGCCGGUAAACCACACACACUCAACUAAUGACUUUGAGAAUGCAAAUAUUACAAUUGCUAUCUAGCUAAAAUCUACUUAGUGAAAGUGUUUCCUCACCAUCAUUUUCAUGAAUCGGAGAGAAACCUUAUGACACUUAGAUUUAUAUGGUGUAUGAGUUCCUACCCAUAUGAAUUUGUCAAACCAUAAUCACAAGACAAAGAUAAUGACAAAUCCAAAACCAUAUGGAUUGAACUCAAUCUUAAUUUCUUGCCACCUGCCAGCUCAAGGGCCUACCAUUGCUUCCAAGUUGUUGUGCAACAAAUUGAUAACUCUAAGAACUCAUAUGCAAAGCCAACUUUAACUCGAAUGGGCAUGGAAUAUGUCAACACGAUAGGUUAUAAACGUCAAGUCGUGUGCCAGUGAAGAACUUCAGUUUUUGUUCUUGAUUAGUUCUUGAGACUUUCGAUUACCUUUAAGACUCCCACUGUCCUCUUGACAUAUAAGACUUUCUUGUCAGAUAUUCAAGAGAUAGUGUGGAUUCUAAUCAAGACAAACACUUCACACAAUUGGCCUAAGUUGGUCUUUGUUUUAUCCAAAACAUCACAACUUACCAAUUUCAAAUGUACAAGAGUAGAAAACUUUUACUCUUACAUUUGACAAGUGUUUUAAACCUUCUUUAAGACAUGUCACUCAAGUUACAAUCUUGGAGUAUGACUCUAAGACUUGUAUUGGAACGAAGUAUGACUCAUCUUCUUGAUUUAACCAUUUCAACAAUUCAAGAUUCCUCUUCUUAGUCAUAAGAAUGCACUAAGAUUUCCUUAGAGAACUAAUUGUGCUAUGGUUUCUUAAUCAUUAAGAUGAUCACAAAACUGAUACUAAAGUACUCUCCCAUCUUUUCAGAUUUGAGAAACUUUUAUCUUUCUGCCUAAUUUGAUUCUUCUUAUUCGCUCUGCCAUACAUUGGAACCUUUUCCAAUGUCUCAGAAUUACACUUAAGCUUGUAAGUAUAACCAUAUUUACUGAGCUUUAGUAAAUUAUGACGAAUAAUCUUAUCGAUCUUUUGUGGUGGACUUGACCAGUGCACAAGAAUGUGUACUCGAUCCCUUAGUCCUUCACUUGACUCACACAUCCAUGUGAACAAGUAAUUAGUCUUCAUUUUCCAAUACUUGAAAGUUCUCAUUCAUCAUGCUAUACAACUUUCAUGAUUCCAAGUUUCUGUCCAACUGAAACUUGGGUGAUGAGAAUCUUUCCUUAUUUGCUAAAUUUAGACACUACCACAAAUGAAAGAAUUAAAUUCAUAUUUCCACUCUUGCUCUUAAUGGAAUCUUAUAAGCAACAAAAAUUUCCACAGAUGUCAUUGUAAGGAUAUUUUAAAAUAAAUAAAAUCAAAAUUUUCCUUUUAUUUUAAAAAAAAAUUGCAGAAAAACUUGUCCUUACAAUCCAUAUGAAAACUUGUUGUUAUUUAUUCCUAAGCAAUAUCUCAUAACUCCUAAGAAGUAGCUCAAGAAUCUGAUCUUCAAACUAUGCAAUAGAAAUCCAUCUACGCGAUCAGAUUCAACAUAUUCUUUCUGUAAGUUUCUUUACUCUUCUUUGAUUCUUAAAAAAUCAACAUGUGACCCUGCCACAUGAUAUAUCAAGAAUCUCAUAAUAGAAACUUAGCAGAGUUAGAUAGUGGACUUUUCUUGAAGUAGAGUAAAACUUAUUGACUUUAACAUCCUUAGGUAAAUUUGGCAGCUUCGCAACUGAUGCCCCUUCCUUUGGCAAUAUAACAUAUGGACGCUUUGGUAAUGGUACACGGGACUAUCACAGACUUAGCUUUUCUCUUUACUAUUUGGUCAAUCGAGUUGACUAUGGCUGAUCCCUUUCCAUUGGGAAGAGAAUGCUUUUUCUGGAUUUCCAGUGUUACAAUUGUCAAUGUCCAUAAAGUUUUAGGAAGUUGAUCUUAGCAAAUAGAUAAGAUCAUUAAGGGUCUUUUCAUAGUCUGUUACAUAGGUUUCCCAAAUGAACUCACUAUGUGACUUAGAAAGUGAUUGAGCCACCAACUUUCUCAAGACUUUAACAGCCAACUCUCCCGGCUUGUCAAUAUGUGACUAUAUCUCCAAGAUGAGACCACACCUAGACCUUGCCUUGCCAAUAGGGAUUGAGUGACCUUAAACUUUUCAAGAACUUGUGGGUUGGGGAGAAUAAUUGGAGGAGGUGAAAGAAGUAUGAUUUCCAAGGGACAUCAUCUUCAUUUAGGAAAGCUUGUUUCAAGAGAUUUGGGAAGAUCAUAAAUGUCUAAACCAGACAUCUUUUGGGAGAUAUUCAAGAUAGUUGAUCUUAAGUCCUUAAUAUGACACCCAAUAUGAAAUAUUAAGGCUAGGACCUAACAAACUAUUUUAUAACUUUGAAGAGGGAUGCCUUAAUCCAAGCUAUAAAAUAUUUGAUGGUACGUGAAUGACGAUUCACCAAUUUCCACCAAGAUAAACGAAAUGUAUUAUUAGGUUUUAAUUGGUUUUGAAACUCCUAGAUCUUUGAGAUUCAUUGAACUUUUCAAAGGCAUGUUUCAAUCUCGAGUGUGCCCUUCAGGUUUUGUGACUGGGAUGCCGAGGAUCACAAAACAAGGUGUGAAGUAACC
This 35328-nucleotide long non-coding RNA is filed under the name Lactuca sativa (garden lettuce). Its description in RNAcentral is "long non-coding RNA (LSAT_LNC007451)". The record is from RNAcentral. Lineage: Eukaryota; Viridiplantae; Streptophyta; Magnoliopsida; Asterales; Asteraceae.